AACGGCCGUACCAUUCUGAAUAUACCGGCUCUCGUUAGAUCACCGAAGUCAAGCAUCGUUGGGCGCGGUCAGUACUUGGGUGGGUGACCACCUGGGAACACUGCGUGCCGUU
Molecule: ribosomal RNA, 112 nt
Filed under: Caerostris darwini
Lineage: Eukaryota; Metazoa; Arthropoda; Arachnida; Araneae; Araneidae
Source: RNAcentral